Molecule: ribosomal RNA, 962 nt
Filed under: Pseudomonas sp.
Lineage: Bacteria; Pseudomonadati; Pseudomonadota; Gammaproteobacteria; Pseudomonadales; Pseudomonadaceae
Description: bacterial SSU rRNA
Rfam family: Bacterial small subunit ribosomal RNA
Source: RNAcentral
CAGAUGACCCCAGGUCCGAUUACUUAGUUGGUGAGGUAAUGGCUCACCAAGGCCACGAUCCCUACCUGGCCUGAGAGGAUGAUCAUUCACACUGGAACUGAGACUCGGUCCAUACUCCUACCGGAGGCACCACUGGGGAAUAUUGGACAAUGGGCGAAAGCCUGAUCCAGCCAUGCCGCCUGCGUGAACAACGUCUUCGGAUUGUAAAGCACUUUAACUUGGGAGGAAGGGCAGUUACUUAAUACGUGAUUGUUUUGACGUUACCGACAGAAUAAGCACCGGCUAACUCUGUGCCAUCCUCCGCGGUAAUACACAGGGUGCACGCGUUAAUCGGAAUUACUGGGCGUAAACCGCGCGUAGGUGGUUACUUAAGUCGGAUGUGAAAUCCCCUGGCUCAACCUGGGAACUGCAUUCAAAACUGACUGACUAGAGUAUGGUAGAGGGUGGUGGAAUUUCCUGUGUAGCGGUGAAAUGCGUAGAUAUAGGAAGGAACACUCGUGGCGAACGCGACCACCUGGACUGAUACUGACACUGAGGUGCGAAAGCGUGGGGAGCAAACUGGAUUAGAUACCCUGGUACUUCCACGCCGUAAACGAUGUCAACUAGCCGUUAGGAGCCUUGAGCUCUUAGUGGCGCAGCUAACGCAUUAGUUGACCGCCUGCGGAGUACGGCCGCAGGUUAAAUCUCACAUCGACUUGACGGGGGUUCGCACAAGCGGUGUAGCAUGUGGUUUUACUUCGAAGCCACGGCAACCAUCCUUACAGGCCUUGACAUUCCAAUUGAACUUUCCCAGAGAUGCAUUGGUCGCCUUUCAGAAAUUCGAGACAUGUGCUGCAUGGCCUGUCGUCGCUCGUGCCGUAGACAUGUUCGGCUAAGUCCGCUAACGACGCGCAUCCCUUGUCCUUUACCUUACCAUCACGUUAAUGGUGGGAACUCUCAAGGACACUGGCCGGGUACACCAA